GAAUGGUCAGUAAAAGCCAUACAACUCACUACGAAGCCUCUUUCAUUAUUUCAUUUUACCUCCAACCUUUUUAUAUUCCCUCCAUUCCUUUUUAUCCCAUCAAAAUCAAACUUUUCCCCCUGAAAAAUAUAUUGAUUUCAUAGAUUAUCUUUUUCAUCCCUCAUAUAUGUCUCCACAUAUCACUGUUUCUCGCCGUCGUAAAGGCUAUUAGCCACCAUGGAUGCUAACUAACUCUCAUAUGAACUUUUUCUAUGUCAUUCCUUUCUCACAAACCAAGUAGAAAGUAGUGCCUCUUCUUCUGCUCUCAAGGAAGUUCGAUCUAUUGGUUGUCCUUGUGCAUUACAGAUGAGGGAAGUGAUGGAGAAAGUCGGGAAGGUAUUUUUCCAAAUUAUUAUUUUUUGUCACCAUGUACUUUCUAUCGAAAUGGGAGGACCUUUAGUUUUUGAUAUUUUGAUUUCUAGAAUUUCAAAUAUGUUGAUAAUUUCUAUAUUAUUGGGGAUUUUGCUCAAAAUGCUACGUAAUUCAGGUGUGAAUUAUUAAAGUAUCUGGAACUUGAAUUAUUCUAUGCAUAGGGCUUUUUUCUUUACUUACUUAUUUGUUAUUACAAUGUUCACUUGUAAUAUGUAAAUUUAUAAGUGUAUAUAUUGGUUGCUGAUUCCAAUGGUCUCAGAAUAUUAGUCAAAACUUGUAGGUUUCUUUGAAAAAUUCAUAUUUUAGUUUGGUCUUAUAUACCAACAAGAUGUUCCAGAAGAUGUGAUGACUGAGGAAUAUCAUACUUGGAAUUCUCAGAUACUCUUGAUAGAUAAUUUAUUGUUUUAACAUUGUCACAUGCCUUAUUCAGUUGUUAAAUGAACAUUAUGCAAUUUUUACUUUUUUCUCGUUUCUUUUCUUUGCAAGCCAAUUAAGAUAACCCAAAAUCUUCAAAAUGCACCCGAUGAUUACAGGUGCUAGGUUUCUCUAUGUGACACCAUCCUUAUUCUCCCCUAGCAUAUAUAUUUUUUGUUUUUAAUUCAAGUUCGUUUAAGAGGGAAAUGAGUAUUAAAACAUGAAAGAAAAACCUUGAAAUCUAAGGUUCGAAUUUUACUACAACACUCUAUAUGUGUUAGCCUGUAGGCUAUAAUAGGCUGUAAAGAUGGUCCGUACGCCAUCUUUAUCAAAUAAUAAAAGAAAUAGAGAAAAAUAAAGAUUGAAAGUUCUGAUUUUGUAAACUUUAUUGGGAUUAAGCUUGAAUGCUGCAUUUAUCUCUUAGAGGUCCAUUUGAAGUUUGUUUUUUGAACUGCCUUUAAUUGUUCAACUGAAUCUUUUAUCUGCUUUAUUGAGAUGUAACUCAUGAAUACUUCUCUAGGUGAUUGUGAAAUUUCCUAUAUGGAAUAUACAAGAUUUGUUUGGCUUAAGUUGGAAAAACUGUAUCUUGGCAUGGCAGCUAAGAUGGGUCUAUGAGAUUUGAAGGAAAAAGUUCCAUUUUUGGUGUUUCUUCUGUCUCAUAAGGCUAACUAUUGCUUGCAACCAUUGCAUGUUUUAAAGCUCUUUUGGUUUUUUCUGAAAAAAGGGGACUUUUUAGCCUCCCCGUUGCCUUGAUUGUGCUAAAAGAUUGAGUCUCUAAGGUUGCACUGCUUUUUCCCUGUGAGUUCAUAGUUGAUGAAUUUUGUUGGUGUAAAGACAAGUUAUGCCGGCAUGAUGAGCUUGAUCGACAACUUCAAAGAGGCGAUGCUGAUUUUUUAAAUCUAUCAUUCCCUUCUAAGCUUAUUAAUUGUGCAUUUGCGAUUAUCUGGCACGUCUCUUGGCGGGGCCUGCCCCCAGAUUUUUUGGUAAUUUUUGCUGUCAUGGCGUCGUCGAAUCUAUUUUUCCUUGAGCUAUAACACAGAUCUGAGCCUUAAAGAGGAAACACAAAAAUUGUGAAAAUCUGAUUAGCUUAAAUCCGAGGUUGCGAUGAAAGCAGAGAGCAGUUGGGAGUUUUAAUGGGUGGUUUUGCACCUCUCUGUCAUUCUCGGCUGCUGAUGAUCAUUGAUGAACUUUUCUGAUUGCAAAACCACCCUUUUUGUGAAAUUUCACAUGAUCUUCCUCUUUUCCUUUUCCUGUUACUCACCUUGUUUCAAUUAUGAGCAAUGAGACUAUGAAGAUUUUAUCGUCUGCUGAAGGUGAGAAGAUGAAUCAGACAUAUUUCUAUUGAGCUGAAGAAAACUGUAAUUUCGUGUUGCACACUCAUCCAGCCUGCAUUUUGUUUUAAAUCAAAUUCUUGGAGUUGUUUUCUUCUGACCGUCUUGAGUUAGAAAAUAGCAGAGGUCCUCUAAUCUUUGAUACCUGAACUGUGUUUGCUUAGUCUUGUUUUUGGAAGUGUUCAUCAGUUUUUGUUUCUUGACAGAGUGAGUAGUAAGACGAGACCAGUUAUUUAAUAGCAAGUAAUUUAUAGUUAUUCAUUAGAAGACAUCCACACUAUCUGGAUUAGAUAUUCUUAUGUUGACAUAAUUAUUUUAUAAUUUCAGGUCAUACCGUAUGAUAUUGGACAUUUUAGCAGCUAAAAGAUUUCAAAAUGAUGAAAAGUUGCGGAAAUCAUUUGAAGACUAUCAUUUGGAUUAGUUAUAUAAUGACAUUAGCUAUUUAGUCUAAAUUAUAUAUUUUUAUGUUUUAAGUUAAUGUGAUAUUAAUAUUUUUUAUUAGUACUUCCUUUUGUUUGUUAAGAUAAUGAGAUACAUUUAUAUUUUUUUCGAAUUAAUAUAUUUUAUUAUUUGAGUCAUAUUAUGUACGAAUGUAGUAACUAUUAUUAAUUGUGGCUAAACUACUUAUAAUUGAUGUAAAAUAAAAU
Molecule: long non-coding RNA, 2803 nt
Filed under: Nicotiana benthamiana
Lineage: Eukaryota; Viridiplantae; Streptophyta; Magnoliopsida; Solanales; Solanaceae
Description: long non-coding RNA (NBEN_LNC033741)
Source: RNAcentral